AUUGAACGCUGGCGGCAUGCCUUACACAUGCAAGUCGAACGGUAACAGGUCUUCGGAUGCUGACGAGUGGCGAACGGGUGAGUAAUACAUCGGAACGUGCCUAGUAGUGGGGGAUAACUACUCGAAAGAGUGGCUAAUACCGCAUGAGAUCUACGGAUGAAAGCAGGGGAUCGCAAGACCUUGUGCUACUAGAGCGGCCGAUGGCAGAUUAGGUAGGUGGUGGGAUAAAAGCUUACCAAGCCGACGAUCUGUAGCUGGUCUGAGAGGACGAUCAGCCAAACUGGGACGGAGACACGGCCCAGACUCCUAAGGGAGGCAGCAGUGGGGAAUUUUGGACAAUGGGCGAAAGCCUGAUCCAGCAAUGCCGCGUGCAGGAUGAAGGCCUUCGGGUUGUAAACUGCUUUUGUACGGAACGAAAAGCCCCGGGUUAAUACCCUGGGGUCAUGACGGUACCGUAAGAAUAAGCACCGGCUAACUACGUGCCAGCCGCCGCGGUAA
RNAcentral lists this ribosomal RNA (498 nucleotides) under uncultured bacterium. RNAcentral describes it as "partial 16S ribosomal RNA". It matches the Rfam family "Bacterial small subunit ribosomal RNA", at positions 30 to 523 of the family's 1533-position model. The record is from RNAcentral.